This 478-nucleotide ribosomal RNA is filed under the name uncultured bacterium. RNAcentral describes it as "partial 16S ribosomal RNA". It matches the Rfam family "Bacterial small subunit ribosomal RNA", at positions 28 to 523 of the family's 1533-position model. The record is from RNAcentral.
GACGAACGCUGGCGGCGUGCUUAACACAUGCAAGUCGAACGGUAAGGCCCUUCGGGGUACACGAGUGGCGAACGGGUGAGUAACACGUGGGUGACCUGCCCUGCACUUCGGGAUAAGCCUGGGAAACUGGGUCUAAUACCGGAUAGGACCACUGCCUGCAUGGGUGGUGGUGGAAAGCUUUUGCGGUGUGGGGUGGGCCCGCGGCCUAUCAGCUUGUUGGUGGGGUGAUGGCCUACCAAGGCGACGACGGGUAGCCGGCCUGAGAGGGUGACCGGCCACACUGGGACUGCGAUACGGCCCAGACUCCUACGGGAGGCAGCAGUGGGGAAUAUUGCACAAUGGGCGCAAGCCUGAUGCAGCGACGCCGCGUGAGGGAUGACGGCCUUCGGGUUGUAAACCUCUUUCAGCACCGACGAAGCGCAAGUGACGGUAGGUGCAGAAGAAGGACCGGCCAACUACGUGCCAGCAGCCGCUGUAA